This 311-nucleotide ribosomal RNA is filed under the name uncultured Chloroflexota bacterium. RNAcentral describes it as "bacterial SSU rRNA". It matches the Rfam family "Bacterial small subunit ribosomal RNA", at positions 28 to 351 of the family's 1533-position model. Lineage: Bacteria; Bacillati; Chloroflexota. The record is from RNAcentral.
GAUGAACGCUGGCGGCGUGCCUAAUACAUGCAAGUCGAACGGUCCGCAAGGAUAGUGGCGAACGGGUGAGUAACGCGUUGGUGACCUGCCCUAAAGUGGGGGAUAACGGAUCGAAAGGUCCGCUAAUACCGCAUAAGUUCUGUCCAGUUAGAGAAGACAGAGGAAAGCCGAAAGGCGCUAUAGGAGGGACCUGCGUCCCAUCAGCUAGUUGGUAGGGUAGUGGCCUACCAAGGCGAUGACGGGUAGGGGACCUGAGAGGGUGACCCCCCACAAUGGAACUGAAACACGGUCCAUACACCUACGGGUGGCUG